UACAUGGGGUGCAAACGUUGCUCGGAAUUACUGGGCGUAAAGCGUGCGCAGGCGGUCUUGCAAGACAGGUGUGAAAUCCCCGGGCUUAACCUGGGAACUGCACUUGUGACUGCAAGGCUGGAGUGCGGCAGAGGGGGAUGGAAUUCUCGGUGUAGAGGUGAAAUUCGUAGAUAUCGAGAGGAACACCGGUGGCGAAGGCGGCCUUCUGGACAGUGACUGACGCUGAGACGCGAAAGCGUGGGGAGCAAACAGG
Molecule: ribosomal RNA, 253 nt
Filed under: uncultured bacterium
Lineage: Bacteria
Description: partial 16S ribosomal RNA
Rfam family: Bacterial small subunit ribosomal RNA
Source: RNAcentral